CAGCCGCCGCGGGAAUACGAAGGGGGCUAGCGCUGUUCGGAAUUACUGGGUGUAAAGCGCACGUAGGCGGAUACUUAAGUUAGGGGUGAAAUCCCAGGGCUCAACCCUGGAACUGCCUUUAAUACUGUUUGUCUUGAGUUCGAGAGAGGUAAGUGGAACUGCGAGUGUAGAGGUGAAAUUCGUAGACAUUCGCAAGAACACCAGUGGCGAAGGCGGCUUACUGGCUCGAAACUGACGCUGAGGCGCGAAAGCGUGGGGAGCAAACAGGAUUAGAUACCCCCGUAGUCCCUGUCUCUUAUAC
RNAcentral lists this ribosomal RNA (301 nucleotides) under uncultured bacterium. RNAcentral describes it as "partial 16S ribosomal RNA". It matches the Rfam family "Bacterial small subunit ribosomal RNA", at positions 509 to 807 of the family's 1533-position model. The record is from RNAcentral.